AAAGUGCCCCAGCCUGAGCUGGCGGACUACACCACUGCCUUUCCCGCAAGGGAAGGGUUAUGUGUCCACCCAUUGUGAAACUUCUACCUUUGCUUCGGCAGCACUCUCUUCGGAGGGGUAAGGCUGUCAGAAGCCCAUAUCAAACUAGUUGAUGAAAUGUCAUGCUGUCUGAUAACUACUAUUUGAGAAAUCAAAUUGAACUUA
RNAcentral lists this unclassified non-coding RNA (204 nucleotides) under uncultured Orbiliales. RNAcentral describes it as "sequence contains ITS1". Lineage: Eukaryota; Fungi; Ascomycota; Orbiliomycetes; Orbiliales. The record is from RNAcentral.